This 60-nucleotide transfer RNA is filed under the name Aderidae sp. GENSP01. Its description in RNAcentral is "tRNA-Arg". Lineage: Eukaryota; Metazoa; Arthropoda; Insecta; Coleoptera; Aderidae. The record is from RNAcentral.
AAGUAUGAAAUAAAUUUUAUAAUUAGUUUCGACCUAAAAAUAGGGGUACCCCCUUACUUA